Molecule: transfer RNA, 68 nt
Filed under: Marmota monax (woodchuck)
Lineage: Eukaryota; Metazoa; Chordata; Mammalia; Rodentia; Sciuridae
Description: tRNA.Ala
Rfam family: tRNA (bases 5-65)
About the family: Transfer RNA (tRNA) molecules are approximately 80 nucleotides in length. Their secondary structure includes four short double-helical elements and three loops (D, anti-codon, and T loops).
Source: RNAcentral
GGAUUGUGGCUCAGGGAUAGAGCGCUCGCCUAGCACGUGUGAGACCCUGGGUUUGAUCCUCAGCACCA